CACCACGGCAGGCCUGGGAUGCUGAUGGAGGAGGGAGCAGCGUGCAGCAGCUCCCAGAGAGUGGGAGAUGUGGAGAGAGCAUCUCACACACACCCAGAGAGCAGGAGAACGGGGACAGGAGCAGGUUUGGAAGUUUACAGCUGCUAAGCAGUGAUGCUUCUCCCCAUCUGUAGAUCUCAGAGCUUGCUGCUGAGAGUUCUCCUGCCUUGCAACCAGAUCUCAUCUCCCUGAGCUUUCCAUGGCCCCUUGUGCUGCUGUGUAAAAUAUUCCUUUGGCUCUGGAAAUUUGACCCAUUUUUAUUUUCAGACCAGAGAGUUUGAGAGUGUAUGGUUGUUUUGUAACGUGAUGUUUACUCGUCUAAAGCAAAUAAUUAUGGCAAGUGAUGCAACACCUUGAGGAAUUAAAAUCUUGGCUAUUUUCCAGAAGAAAGGAGAACUUAUGUCCAUUCUUGGUUUGGUGUGAACUUUAAAAAUUAAAAAAAAAUAAAAUAAAGAUAUCUCUUCA
RNAcentral lists this long non-coding RNA (504 nucleotides) under Parus major (Great Tit). Its description in RNAcentral is "lncRNA (ENSPMJG00000010724.1)". The record is from RNAcentral. Lineage: Eukaryota; Metazoa; Chordata; Aves; Passeriformes; Paridae.